Molecule: ribosomal RNA, 301 nt
Filed under: uncultured bacterium
Lineage: Bacteria
Description: partial 16S ribosomal RNA
Rfam family: Bacterial small subunit ribosomal RNA
Source: RNAcentral
CAGCAGCCGCGGGAAUACGGAGGGUGCAAGCGUUAAUCGGAAUUACUGGGCGUAAAGCGCACGCAGGCGGUUUGUUAAGUCAGAUGUGAAAUCCCCGAGCUUAACUUGGGAACUGCAUUUGAAACUAGCAAGCUAGAGUCUUGUAGAGGGGGGUAGAAUUCCAGGUGUAGCGGUGAAAUGCGUAGAGAUCUGGAGGAAUACCGGUGGCGAAGGCGGCCCCCUGGACAAAGACUGACGCUCAGGUGCGAAAGCGUGGGGAGCAAACAGGAUUAGAUACCCGAGUAGUCCCUGUCUCUUAUAC